RNAcentral lists this ribosomal RNA (465 nucleotides) under Vreelandella stevensii. RNAcentral describes it as "partial 16S ribosomal RNA". It matches the Rfam family "Bacterial small subunit ribosomal RNA", at positions 338 to 795 of the family's 1533-position model. Lineage: Bacteria; Pseudomonadati; Pseudomonadota; Gammaproteobacteria; Oceanospirillales; Halomonadaceae. The record is from RNAcentral.
CCUACGGGAGGCUGCAGUGGGGAAUAUUGGACAAUGGGCGAAAGCCUGAUCCAGCCAUGCCGCGUGUGUGAAGAAGGCCUUCGGGUUGUAAAGCACUUUCAGUGGGGAAGAAAGCCUUGGGGCUAAUACCCUCGAGGAAGGACAUCACCCACAGAAGAAGCACCGGCUAACUCCGUGCCAGCAGCCGCGGUAAUACGGAGGGUGCGAGCGUUAAUCGGAAUUACUGGGCGUAAAGCGCGCGUAGGCGGUCUGAUAAGCCGGUUGUGAAAGCCCCGGGCUCAACCUGGGAACGGCAUCCGGAACUGUCAGGCUAGAGUGCAGGAGAGGAAGGUAGAAUUCCCGGUGUAGCGGUGAAAUGCGUAGAGAUCGGGAGGAAUACCAGUGGCGAAGGCGGCCUGCUGGACUGACACUGACGCUGAGGUGCGAAAGCGUGGGUAGCAAACAGGAUUAGAUACCCUGGUAGUC